RNAcentral lists this ribosomal RNA (1405 nucleotides) under uncultured bacterium. RNAcentral's name for it is "bacterial SSU rRNA". It matches the Rfam family "Bacterial small subunit ribosomal RNA". The record is from RNAcentral.
GAGUUUGAUCCUGGCUCAGGACGAACGCUGGCGGCGUGCCUAAUACAUGCAAGUAGAACGCUGAAGAGAGGAGCUUGCUCUUCUUGGAUGAGUUGCGAACGGGUGAGUAACGCGUAGGUAACCUGCCUUGUAGCGGGGGAUAACUAUUGGAAACGAUAGCUAAUACCGCAUAACAAUGGAUGACACAUGUCAUUUAUUUGAAAGGGGCAAUUGCUCCACUACAAGAUGGACCUGCGUUGUAUUAGCUAGUAGGUGAGGUAACGGCUCACCUAGGCGACGAUACAUAGCCGACCUGAGAGGGUGAUCGGCCACACUGGGACUGAGACACGGCCCAGACUCCUACGGGAGGCAGCAGUAGGGAAUCUUCGGCAAUGGGGGCAACCCUGACCGAGCAACGCCGCGUGAGUGAAGAAGGUUUUCGGAUCGUAAAGCUCUGUUGUAAGUCAAGAACGAGUGUGAGAGUGGAAAGUUCACACUGUGACGGUAGCUUACCAGAAAGGGACGGCUAACUACGUGCCAGCAGCCGCGGUAAUACGUAGGUCCCGAGCGUUGUCCGGAUUUAUUGGGCGUAAAGCGAGCGCAGGCGGUUUGAUAAGUCUGAAGUUAAAGGCUGUGGCUCAACCAUAGUUCGCUUUGGAAACUGUCAAACUUGAGUGCAGAAGGGGAGAGUGGAAUUCCAUGUGUAGCGGUGAAAUGCGUAGAUAUAUGGAGGAACACCGGUGGCGAAAGCGGCUCUCUGGUCUGUAACUGACGCUGAGGCUCGAAAGCGUGGGGAGCGAACAGGAUUAGAUACCCUGGUAGUCCACGCCGUAAACGAUGAGUGCUAGGUGUUGGAUCCUUUCCGGGAUUCAGUGCCGCAGCUAACGCAUUAAGCACUCCGCCUGGGGAGUACGACCGCAAGGUUGAAACUCAAAGGAAUUGACGGGGGCCCGCACAAGCGGUGGAGCAUGUGGUUUAAUUCGAAGCAACGCGAGGAACCUUACCAGGUCUUGACAUCCCGAUGCUAUUUCUAGAGAUAGAAAGUUACUUCGGUACAUCGGUGACAGGUGGUGCAUGGUUGUCGUCAGCUCGUGUCGUGAGAUGUUGGGUUAAGUCCCGCAACGAGCGCAACCCCUAUUGUUAGUUGCCAUCAUUCAGUUGGGCACUCUAGCGAGACUGCCGGUAAUAAACCGGAGGAAGGUGGGGAUGACGUCAAAUCAUCAUGCCCCUUAUGACCUGGGCUACACACGUGCUACAAUGGUUGGUACAACGAGUUGCGAGUCGGUGACGGCAAGCUAAUCCCUUAAAGCCAAUCUCAGUUCGGAUUGUAGGCUGCAACUCGCCUACAUGGAGUCGGAAUCGCUAGUAAUCGCGGAUCAGCACGCCGCGGUGAAUACGUUCCCGGGCCUUGUACACACCGCCCGUC